GUCCCUGUAGCGCAAUGGAUAGCGCGUUGGAAUUCUAAUCCAAAGGUCGUGGGCUCGAAUCUCACCUGGGGUG
RNAcentral lists this transfer RNA (73 nucleotides) under Trichonephila clavipes. It matches the Rfam family "tRNA". Rfam says of the family: Transfer RNA (tRNA) molecules are approximately 80 nucleotides in length. Their secondary structure includes four short double-helical elements and three loops (D, anti-codon, and T loops). Further hydrogen bonds mediate the characteristic L-shaped molecular structure. tRNAs have two regions of fundamental functional importance: the anti-codon, which is responsible for specific mRNA codon recognition, and the 3' end, to which the tRNAs corresponding amino acid is attached (by aminoacyl-tRNA synthetases). tRNAs cope with the degeneracy of the genetic code in two manners: having more than one tRNA (with a specific anti-codon) for a particular amino acid; and 'wobble' base-pairing, i.e. permitting non-standard base-pairing at the 3rd anti-codon position. The record is from Rfam by way of RNAcentral. Lineage: Eukaryota; Metazoa; Arthropoda; Arachnida; Araneae; Nephilidae.